CAGUCGCCGCGGGAAUACGUAGGGUGCAAGCGUUAACCGGAAUUACUGGGCGUAAAGCGUGCGCAGGCGGUUUUGUAAGACAGAGGUGAAAUCCCCGGGCUCAACCUGAGAACUGCCUUUGUGACUGCAAGGCUGGAGUGCGGCAGAGGGGGAUGGGAUUCCGCGUGUAGCAGUGAAAUGCGUAGAUAUGCGGAGGAACACCGAUGGCGAAGGCAAUCCCCUGGGCCUGCACUGACGCUCAUGCACGAAAGCGUGGGGAGCAAACAGGAUUAGAUACCCGCGUAGUCCCUGUCUCUUAUAC
RNAcentral lists this ribosomal RNA (301 nucleotides) under uncultured bacterium. Its description in RNAcentral is "partial 16S ribosomal RNA". It matches the Rfam family "Bacterial small subunit ribosomal RNA", at positions 509 to 807 of the family's 1533-position model. The record is from RNAcentral.